CAUGUUCGAAAUGGUCUCGAUCUACAUGACUAGAAAUCGAAUCCAUGAUGGCUUGAGGCUUGGGAGACACAUGAUUUGGUUGAGAAGAGAUGGCGACUCAGGGUGUUUUUCUUGUGUUGUUGUCUCAGAUUUGCAACUAUUAGGGGUCCUCACACAGAUAAAACGACAUGCAUGUGUUAGAUCUUGUUCCAUUUCUCUAAAACAAAUAAAUCUGACAAUGAAACCAAAAGAUUGGAGGAUAAUUUUACCUUUGGGUUUCAGUUUUGCCGAUUUUCUAUCGUAGCUCGUGUGUGUUGCUGGGUUAUUGGCUGCAUCACGGAUGAAGAGUUUAGAAAGGAUGAAGGCGCUGCUGUGAAAUGGAGGUUUGAAUUGAUGACUGGACUUGAGAGUUUUGAACAUGGGAAAAGCUCCGAGAGAGUCUCUUCGGAUUUUCUAAAGAGAGAGAAGGCUCUUGCGUUUUUGAGAGAAAUGAAGAAGAGAGAGAGGGCUGAGAUGGAUGGGUUUGAA
This 507-nucleotide long non-coding RNA is filed under the name Malus domestica (apple). RNAcentral's name for it is "long non-coding RNA (MDOM_LNC003722)". Lineage: Eukaryota; Viridiplantae; Streptophyta; Magnoliopsida; Rosales; Rosaceae. The record is from RNAcentral.